AGCGAACGCUGGCGGCAGGCCUAACACAUGCAAGUCGAACGACAUAGUGGCAGACGGGUGAGUAACGCGUGGGAACGUGCCUUUCACUACGGAAUAGCUUCUGGAAACGGAAGGUAAUACCGUAUACGCCCUUCGGGGGAAAGAUUUAUCGGUGAAAGAUCGGCCCGCGUUAGAUUAGUUUGUUGGUGGGGUAAUGGCCUACCAAGACUACGAUCUAUAGCUGGUCUGAGAGGAUGAUCAGCCACACUGGGACUGAGACACGGCCCAGACUCCUACGGGAGGCAGCAGUGGGGAAUCUUGCACAAUGGGCGAAAGCCUGAUGCAGCCAUGCCGCGUGAAUGAUGAAGGCCUUAGGGUUGUAAAAUUCUUUCGCCAGGGAUGAUAAUGACAGUACCUGGUAAAGAAGCCCCGGCUAACUUCGUGCCAGCAGCCGCGGUAAUACGAAGGGGGCUAGCGUUGUUCGGAAUUACUGGGCGUAAAGCGCGCGUAGGCGGGCUGUUAAGCCAGAUGUGAAAGCCCAGAGCUCAACUCUGGAAUUGCAUUUGGAACUGGCAGCCUAGAGACCAGGAGAGGUUAGCGGAAUACCGAGUGUAGAGGUAAAAUUCGUA
Molecule: ribosomal RNA, 608 nt
Filed under: uncultured Alphaproteobacteria bacterium
Lineage: Bacteria; Pseudomonadati; Pseudomonadota; Alphaproteobacteria
Description: bacterial SSU rRNA
Rfam family: Bacterial small subunit ribosomal RNA
Source: RNAcentral